Bos taurus (domestic cattle) is the source of this 973-nucleotide long non-coding RNA. Lineage: Eukaryota; Metazoa; Chordata; Mammalia; Artiodactyla; Bovidae. The record is from Ensembl.
GUUGUUUCUCCUUAUCACUGAAAGAGAGUGAAACUCUCCAUGCCAAUAUUCCUCAAGCUUCCUGGGAAAUUUGAGGCAUACACUACACCACUUAUUAGGUCUGCUACACCUCAGCUCUUGUUAGCCAAGUGUAGGAGAAGACGGGACCUGGAGAGUAUCACUUCCUCUCAAAGAGCCAAUGCUAGAGACUUUCAUUCCUCAAGCGGAACGUGUUCACUGUGCCAGGAGCUGGCGCGGGCACCACAACCCCUGGAGCCCGGCCUUCAGAUCCAGGAGCCCCGUCACACAGGCACGGUCUGGCUGACGCCUCUCUUCUAUUCCCCCAAAGGUCGUCAUCUAGCACCAACCUGUUGCCUCCCUUCAGAGAACCUACAGGUGGUGGCUUCUGAGGAAAAAAAAGUGUUGUUGUUGUUGUUUUUUAAGUUAUUUUUCUCUCACGUUGUCUUGCUCUUCUAAGUUAUAACCAAAUUCUCUCAGAAAAGAAUGGCAGCCAAACAACAAGCAUGCGCUUCCUCGUGUCGUACUUCCUCUCAUGCGGGUACGGCACACGUUUAGAAGGUACUAGAGACCUCCUGGAGAAGGCAAUGGCACCCCACUCCAGUACUCCUGCCUGGAGAAUCCCAUGGACGGAGGAGCCUGGUAGGCUGCAGUCCAUGCUAAGGGUCGGACACGACUGAGCGACUUCACUUUUUUUCAGUUUUCACUUUCAUGCAUUGGAGAAGGAAAUGGCAACCCACUCCAGUGGUCUUGCCUGGAGAAUCCCAGGGACAGGGGAGCCUGGUGGGCUGCCGUCUAUCGGGUCGCACAGAGUCGGACAUGACUGAAGUGAAUAGCAGCAGCAGCAGAGACCUGCUGUCGCAGGCACAUACGCAGCGGCCGCGGGCAGGCACGCAGGCGCAUAGGCAGCGGGCACGCAUGCACAUGCGCAUUCAAAACAAAUCCGUAGCUACUGGUUUUGCGAAGCCUGGGGUGU